CACAAAUAUGAAGGCGGGCUGGAACCUCUCGGGGUUACAGCCUUGCUGAAAUUAUUCACCCUUGUCUUUUGCGUACUCUCUGUUUCCUUGGUGGGUUCGCCCACCACUAGGACAAACAUAAACCUUUUGUAAUUGCAAUCAGCGUCAUUAACAAAUUAAUAAUUA
RNAcentral lists this unclassified non-coding RNA (165 nucleotides) under soil metagenome. RNAcentral describes it as "partial internal transcribed spacer 1". The record is from RNAcentral.